RNAcentral lists this ribosomal RNA (671 nucleotides) under uncultured bacterium. RNAcentral describes it as "bacterial SSU rRNA". It matches the Rfam family "Bacterial small subunit ribosomal RNA", at positions 136 to 829 of the family's 1533-position model. The record is from RNAcentral.
CUCUGGGAUAACUGCGGGAAACUGUAGCUAAUAGGAUACGACCUUGGAAGGCAUCUUCCGGGGUGGAAAGUUUUUCGGUCAAGGAUCAGCUCGGGCCUAUCAGCUAGUUGGUGAGGUAACGGCUCACCAAGGCAACGACGGGGUAGCCGCUGAGAGGGUGACCGGCCACACUGGGACUGAGACACGGCCCAGACUCCUACGGGAGGCCAAGUGGGGAAUAUUGCACAAAUGGGCGAAAAGCCUGAUGCAGCAAACGCCGCGUGAGGACGAAGGCCCUUCGGGUUGUAAACCCUCUUUUAGUAGGGGAAGAAAGCGAAAAGUGAGUACCUGCAGAAAAAAGCACCGGCUAACUACGUGCCAGCAGCCGCGGUAAUACGUAGGGCAAGCGUUGUCCGGAAUUAUUGGGCGUAAAGAGCUCGUAGGCGGUUUGUCGCGUCUGGUGAAAACCCGAGGCUCAACCUCGGGCCUGCAGUGGGUACGGGCAGACUAGAGUGCGGGGGGAGAAUGGAAUUCCUGGUGUAGCGGUGGAAUGCGCAGAUAUCAGGAGGAACACCAGGCGAAGGCGAGUUCUCUGGGCCGUAACUGACGCUGAGGAGCGAAAGCGUGGGGAGCACUAGGAUUAGAUACCCUGGUAGUCCACGCCGUAAACGUUGGGCGCUAGUUGUGGGGAC